Molecule: microRNA precursor, 202 nt
Filed under: Oryza nivara
Lineage: Eukaryota; Viridiplantae; Streptophyta; Magnoliopsida; Poales; Poaceae
Description: MIR812 microRNA precursor family
Rfam family: MIR812 microRNA precursor family
Source: Rfam by way of RNAcentral
AUGAAAAAAAAAACUGGAUUUUCAUGUUCAAUUUUAACGGUCCGUCUUAUAUGAAAUUUAAAAUUUCUAUAAUUCAUAUUUUUAUUGUUAUUAGAUGAUAAAACAUGAUUAAUAUUUUAUAUGUGACUUGUCUUUUUAUUUUUUUAUAAUUUUUUUAAAUAAGACGGACUAAGACGGACGGUUAAACGUUAAGCACGAAAAC